UUCAAUUUUUUUAGACCCUUUGUAUUAUUUACUAUUAUUAUUUUACUUCCAAAGGUGCAAACUUUCAAAAAAAUUAUUUAUUUGGCAAUAAUUGAGAUUCUUGACCUAAUGAGUUAUUAUAUCGUGAUCUAAAAAUAAAAUUGAAAUAAAAAAUGAAAAACGUUUUUGUCAAAAUUUGCAACUUUCAAAUGAACUCUUUAUACCGAGUUUGUAUUUGUAUGAUGAGUGUCUGGUUUGGUCUGGUUGAUGAACUUGCAACGUUUUAAAAAGUUCGUUACAACUUUUACUAAGCUACCUUGUGGAAUUUACUAGAUACAUUGUAACUUUAACAAAUCUUCCUAGUAACAAGGUGCGCGGCGUCUCGGCGCGCGGACCGAGUCGCCAUCAUUUCCUUGGAAAAACACAAACCGUGUGCACGUUUCUGCGUCGCUUUUUGACUAAUUUCAGUUUAAUUUCCGUUUUGGAUGUGAUUCUGGCUGUCUGGAGGAAAAUUUAACAUCUGACAAUGCACUGGCAUAUCAAGCAGUGGCCUAAAGCUGACGUCGUUGGAAAUAAGCCAGUUUUAAGGAGAGUUUGGUAAUUUUGGACUUGCAUUCCGCCGAUUAAAUUGAAACAAGAUUUUGAAACCAAGAAAGAAUUCAAGGAUAAGCAUUUUUGUGCUGAAAAUUGACAAGAGCUCUUAAAGGAUAAAUGUUUGAAUACACCAAAAACGUGACCACCAGGGCAAUACCCUAGCCGUCAGAAGAGAUUGACCUUUGACAGCAUUUAAUCGCGUAGACUGGACACCACCUAGACUCUGGACAUCUGAAUCCUCCCACGCAAGACGCAAGUGCAACUAUUUUGAUAAGUACAAGAACCCUUCUUACAACUUUUGUUUUUUGUUAGUUUUUUUCUACCAUUCAACACUCAAAUCACAUAAAUGCUUUACUAAAAUAUCUUAAAUUUUUUGAGCGUUGAAUGAUUUUUUUACAUGUAUGUGUAAAUUGCUAAAAAUUAUUUUGUAUUUUAUUUUAUGUGACAAACUGCAAUAAAUAAAAAUUUAAUGUACAAAAUACAACUUAUUUUACUCUGUACCAAGAACAUUCCCAACUUGUAAAAAAUACUGAUCAAAAAUAGUAAAAGCAACAAAUGAAACCUAGUAAAAAGUAACAAACGGAGGAAAGUAAAUCCAACAAACCUACCUAGUAAAAGCCAGCUCCGUUUUUGUCUAGUAAAUUUAACAAGGUAUGGUCAGUUGAAAGUACAAGGUAAAUGGAGUACAAAUCCAGCUUUUAAAUGCCUAGUGAAUUUAACAAGGUAACCUAGUAAAAAUCAUUUUACUAGCCCAUACCUUGUAAAAAUAACUAACCUCAGGACCUGAGGCACUUUUAACAAGAUUAUUCUAGUAAAUACAACUAGAAC
Neocloeon triangulifer is the source of this 1401-nucleotide long non-coding RNA. RefSeq lists it as uncharacterized. The transcript is spliced from 3 exons. The record is from RefSeq and is a predicted model, not a curated record. NCBI's taxonomy places the organism in Eukaryota, Metazoa, Arthropoda, Insecta, Ephemeroptera, Baetidae.